This 914-nucleotide ribosomal RNA is filed under the name Galerina austrocalyptrata. RNAcentral's name for it is "eukaryotic LSU rRNA". It matches the Rfam family "Eukaryotic large subunit ribosomal RNA", at positions 44 to 943 of the family's 3401-position model. Lineage: Eukaryota; Fungi; Basidiomycota; Agaricomycetes; Agaricales; Galerinaceae. The record is from RNAcentral.
CAAUAAGCGGAGGAAAAGAAACUAACAAGGAUUCCCCUAGUAACUGCGAGUGAAGCGGGAAAAGCUCAAAUUUAAAAGCUGGUAGUCUUUGGCUGCCCGCGUUGUAAUCUAGAGAAGUGUUAUCCGCGUUGGACCGUGUACAAGUCUCCUGGAAUGGAGCGUCAUAGAGGGUGAGAAUCCCGUCUUUGACACGGACUGCCAAGGCUUUGUGAUGCGCUCUCAAAGAGUCGAGUUGUUUGGGAAUGCAGCUCAAAAUGGGUGGUAAAUUCCAUCUAAAGCUAAAUAUUGGCGAGAGACCGAUAGCGAACAAGUACCGUGAGGGAAAGAUGAAAAGAACUUUGGAAAGAGAGUUAAACAGUACGUGAAAUUGCUGAAAGGGAAAUGCUUGAAGUCAGUCGUGUUGUCCGGGGAUCAACCUUGCUUUUGCUGGGCGUACUCUCCGGUUGACAGGCCAGCAUCAAUUUUGGCCACUGGAAAAAGGCCAGGGGAAUGUGGCAUCUUCGGAUGUGUUAUAGCCCUUGGUCGCAUACAGUGGCUGGGAUUGAGGAACUCAGCACGCAUUUUUUGUCGGGUUUUUAACCACGUUCGUGCUUAGGAUGCUGGCAUAAUGGCUUUAAUCGACCCGUCUUGAAACACGGACCAAGGAGUCUAACAUGCCUGCGAGUGUUUGGGUGGAAAACCCGAGCGCGCAAUGAAAGUGAAAGUUGAGAUCCCUGUCGUGGGGAGCAUCGACGCCCGGACCAGACCUUUUGUGACGGAUCUGCGGUAGAGCAUGUAUGUUGGGACCCGAAAGAUGGUGAACUAUGCCUGAAUAGGGUGAAGCCAGAGGAAACUCUGGUGGAGGCUCGUAGCGAUUCUGACGUGCAAAUCGAUCGUCAAAUUUGGGUAUAGGGGCGAAAGACUAAUCGAACCCU